This 27-nucleotide small RNA is filed under the name Bombyx mori (domestic silkworm). Its description in RNAcentral is "ovarian small RNA-17858". Lineage: Eukaryota; Metazoa; Arthropoda; Insecta; Lepidoptera; Bombycidae. The record is from RNAcentral.
GUGAUUGAUAUGGUGUUAGGUGCUCAG